Molecule: ribosomal RNA, 478 nt
Filed under: uncultured bacterium
Lineage: Bacteria
Description: partial 16S ribosomal RNA
Rfam family: Bacterial small subunit ribosomal RNA
Source: RNAcentral
GACGAACGCUGGCGGCGUGCUUAACACAUGCAAGUCGAACGGAAAGGCCCUUCGGGGUACUCGAGUGGCGAACGGGUGAGUAACACGUGGGUGAUCUGCCCUGCACUUUGGGAUAAGCCUGGGAAACUGGGUCUAAUACCGAAUAUGACCGCGCUCUUCAUGGGGUGUGGUGGAAAGCUUUUGCGGUGUGGGAUGGGCCCGCGGCCUAUCAGCUUGUUGGUGGGGUAAUGGCCUACCAAGGCGACGACGGGUAGCCGGCCUGAGAGGGUGACCGGCCACACUGGGACUGAGAGACGGCCCAGACUCCUACGGGAGGCAGCAGUGGGGAAUAUUGCACAAUGGGCGCAAGCCUGAUGCAGCGACGCCGCGUGAGGGAUGACGGCCUUCGGGUUGUAAACCUCUUUCAAUAGGGACGAAGCGCAAGUGACGGUACCUAUAGAAGAAGGACCGGCCAACUACGUGCCAGCCGCCGCCGUAA